UAGGGAAUCUUCCACAAUGGACGCAAGUCUGAUGGAGCAACGCCGCGUGAGCGAAGAAGGGUUUCGGCUCGUAAAGCUCUGUUGUUAAAGAAGAACGUGGGUAAGAGUAACUGUUUACCCAGUGACGGUAUUUAACCAGAAAGCCACGGCUAACUACGUGUCAG
RNAcentral lists this ribosomal RNA (164 nucleotides) under uncultured bacterium. RNAcentral describes it as "partial 16S ribosomal RNA". It matches the Rfam family "Bacterial small subunit ribosomal RNA", at positions 355 to 511 of the family's 1533-position model. The record is from RNAcentral.